This 690-nucleotide long non-coding RNA is filed under the name Oryctolagus cuniculus (rabbit). RNAcentral's name for it is "lncRNA (ENSOCUG00000035087.1)". Lineage: Eukaryota; Metazoa; Chordata; Mammalia; Lagomorpha; Leporidae. The record is from RNAcentral.
UUCCCCAAACUAUCUGCUGAGAAUUCACCCAGUAAUUUGGGCAUUUGCGCAAUGCACUAGAGGAUGACACCACUCUCUGUCUCUUCUCUCAUAUAAGUAAACUUCACUCCAUCUCUCAAAAAAUUUUAACAACAAACACAAUUCAGCAAAAUACUUACUGGAAAAAUUCAUAUGAAGAUCAAUUGCAGCAAAACAAACGAAUAAGCAAAAAGAAACACAUCAGUAUCAUUUUCUUCACUACAAAAUCCUCCAGAUGAAUUAUUUUAAAACAGUAUUUUGGAGUUAUAAAUGUGAAUUCUACCUAUUCAUAUGUGCAUAAUGUACUUUCCGUGGACUUCAAAGAUGAUAGACAACACUUGGCAAAGACCGAGUGUGGAAGGUAAUGGCAUCAGCAUCCCAUAUGGGUACCAGUUCAAGUUCCAGCUGCUCCACUUCUGAUCCAUCUCCCUGGGAAAGUAUCUGAAGAUGAUCUGAGUGUUUGGUCCCCUGCCACCCAUAUGAGUGACCCCAAUGAAAAUCUUGGCUCCUGGCUUUGGAUUGCCUCAGUUCCUGCUAUUGCGGUCUCUAACAAGUGAAUAGAAGAUAUACCUCUGCAUCUGUCUCUGUCUGUCUGUCUGUCUGUCUCUCUCUUUCUCUCUUUCUAACUCUGUCUUUCAAAUAAAUAAAUAAAUCUUUUUUUAAAAAAAUGCA